UCAGAGAAAAAUAGUGAAUUGCCGACUUGGGCAAGUGAUCCAUUGGGAUAAAAUUAAAUUCUCUUCUUUUUACCCCAAAAACUUUCUACAUUGGAUAAAAAGAAUCUUCUUGGGGUAUAAAAAAAACCAGAUUUAAAUUUAGUCCAAGGGUUGAUGAUGUAUUUUCCCCAAGAAGGUUGCUCACUAUUUUGCCCCAA
This 197-nucleotide microRNA precursor is filed under the name Medicago truncatula (barrel medic). RNAcentral's name for it is "MIR2670 microRNA precursor family". It matches the Rfam family "MIR2670 microRNA precursor family". The record is from Rfam by way of RNAcentral. Lineage: Eukaryota; Viridiplantae; Streptophyta; Magnoliopsida; Fabales; Fabaceae.